GAUGAAGAACGCAGCGAAAUGCGAUAAGUAGUGUGAAUUGCAGAAUUCCGUGAAUCAUCGAAUCUUUGAACGCACAUUGUGCCUUCUGGUAUUCCGGAAGGCAUGCCUGUUCGAGAGUCAUUAACAACCGUUUCGAUCCCUUUCUUUCAGAAAUUACAAAGAGGAAAAGGGUUUGGUUAUGGUGGAGGAGGGAAAGGGAGCGUUUAGCCUGUAAAAAAAGAGGCUGUGUUCCGCCUCCCCCCCAAAAUUGUACAGGCGGUCGUGUGCGCCCACGCAUCGAGGUGUUGUAAAAGCUGCCACGGCACUUUUCACCUGUGCAGUGCGAGAUUGGCCAGCCGGUUUAAAAACCCCUCCAAACAAUCAAAGGUUGACCUCGGAUCAGGUAGGGAUACCCGCUGAACUUAAGCAUAUCAAUAAGCGGAGGA
Molecule: unclassified non-coding RNA, 425 nt
Filed under: soil metagenome
Description: partial contains 5.8S ribosomal RNA, internal transcribed spacer 2, and large subunit ribosomal RNA
Rfam family: 5.8S ribosomal RNA (bases 1-120)
Source: RNAcentral